RNAcentral lists this ribosomal RNA (439 nucleotides) under uncultured bacterium. RNAcentral's name for it is "partial 16S ribosomal RNA". It matches the Rfam family "Bacterial small subunit ribosomal RNA", at positions 338 to 795 of the family's 1533-position model. The record is from RNAcentral.
CCUACGGGUGGCUGCAGUGGGGAAUAUUGCACAAUGGGGGAAACCCUGAUGCAGCAACGCCGCGUGAGUGAAGAAGUAUUUCGGUAUGUAAAGCUCUAUCAGCAGGGAAGAAGAUGACGGUACCUGAUUAAGAAGCCCCGGCUAACUACGUGCCAGCAGCCGCGGUCAUACGUAGGGGGCAAGCGUUAUCCGGAUUUACUGGGGGAAAGGGGGGCGAGACGGGAGUGGAAGUCUGGAGGUAAAGCCCGGGGCCCAACCCCGGAACUGCUCUGGAAAAUGGGCGGCUAGAGUACUGGAGGGGCAGGCGGAAUUCCUAGUGUAGCGGUGAAAUGCGUAGAUAUUAGGAGGAACACCAGUGGCGAAGGCGGCCUGCUGGACAGUAACUGACGUUGAGGCUCGAAAGCGUGGGGAGCAAACAGGAUUAGAUACCCUUGUAGUC